GAUGAAGAACGUAGCGAAAUGCGAUAAGUAGUGUGAAUUGCAGAAUUCAGUGAAUCAUCGAAUCUUUGAACGCACAUUGCGCCCCUUGGUAUUCCAUGGGGCAUGCCUGUUCGAGCGUCAUUUGUACCUUCAAGCUCUGCUUGGUGUUGGGUGUUUGUCUCGCCUCUGCGUGUAGACUCGCCUCAAAACAAUUGGCAGCCGGCGUAUUGAUUUCGGAGCGCAGUACAUCUCGCGCUUUGCACUCAUAACGACGACGUCCAAAAGUACAUUUUUACACUCAUGACCUCGGAUCAGGUAGGGAUACCCGCUGAACUUAAGCAUAUCAAUAAGCGGAGGA
RNAcentral lists this unclassified non-coding RNA (337 nucleotides) under soil metagenome. RNAcentral describes it as "partial contains 5.8S ribosomal RNA, internal transcribed spacer 2, and large subunit ribosomal RNA". The stretch from base 1 to 120 matches the Rfam family "5.8S ribosomal RNA", at positions 35 to 154 of the family's 154-position model. The record is from RNAcentral.